UGCAGUCGANGGCAGCGCGGGGCAACCUGGCGGCGAGUGGCGAACGGGUGAGUAAUAUAUCGGAACGUGCCCUGGAGUGGGGGAUAACGCAGCGAAAGUUGCGCUAAUACCGCAUACGAUCUAAGGAUGAAAGCGGGGGAUUCGCAAGAACCUCGUGCUCCUGGAGCGGCCGAUAUCUGAUUAGCUAGUUGGUGGGGUAAAGGCCUACCAAGGCAUCGAUCAGUAGCUGGUCUGAGAGGACGACCAGCCACACUGGAACUGAGACGCGGUCCAGACUCCUACGGGAGGCAGCAGUGGGGAAUUUUGGACAAUGGGCGAAAGCCUGAUCCAGCAAUGCCGCGUGAGUGAAGAAGGCCUUCGGGUUGUAAAGCUCUUUUGUCAGGGAAGAAACGGUGAAGGCUAAUAUCCUUUGCUAAUGACGGUACCUGAAGAAUAAGCACCGGCUAACUACGUGCCAGCAGCCGCGGUAAUACGUAGGGUGCAAGCGUUAAUCGGAAUUACUGGGCGUAAAGCGUGCGCAGGCGGUUUUGUAAGUCUGUCGUGAAAUCCCCGGGCUCAACCUGGGAAUUGCGAUGGAGACUGCAAGGCUAGAAUCUGGCAGAGGGGGGUAGAAUUCCACGUGUAGCAGUGAAAUGCGUAGAGAUGUGGAGGAACACCGAUGGCGAANGCAGCCCCCUGGGUCAAGAUUGACGCUCAUGCACGAAAGCGUGGGGAGCAAACAGGAUUAGAUACCCUGGUAGUCCACGCCCUAAACGAUGUCUACUAGUUGUCGGGUUUUAAUUAACUUGGUAACGCAGCUAACGCGUGAAGUAGACCGCCNGGGGNGUACGGUCGCAAGAUUAAAACUCNNGGAAUUGACGGGGACCCGCACAAGCGGUGGAUGAUGUGGAUUAAUUCGAUGCNNCGCGAAAAANCNUUACCUACC
Molecule: ribosomal RNA, 925 nt
Filed under: uncultured bacterium
Lineage: Bacteria
Description: bacterial SSU rRNA
Rfam family: Bacterial small subunit ribosomal RNA
Source: RNAcentral